GGUCAUAGCUCAGUAGGAGAGCAUCUGCUUUGCAUGCAGAAGGUCCCAGAUUCAAUCUCUGGCAUCUCCA
This is a non-coding RNA of Podarcis lilfordi (Lilford's wall lizard), 70 nucleotides long. The record is from the annotation of a GenBank genome assembly. NCBI's taxonomy places the organism in Eukaryota, Metazoa, Chordata, Lepidosauria, Squamata, Lacertidae.